RNAcentral lists this long non-coding RNA (311 nucleotides) under Homo sapiens (human). RNAcentral describes it as "non-protein coding lnc-RHOB-16:1". The record is from RNAcentral. Lineage: Eukaryota; Metazoa; Chordata; Mammalia; Primates; Hominidae.
UGGGGAAAUUCAAAUUGUUAUAUCUACUUCUGUUCCCUAGAAAGAAGCCAGGAGAGUGCAUAGCAUAGCUCCUUAUUCUGCCAUAUGUGGGAAUGGGGAAAAGUGAAAUUAAACCAACACAAUAUAUUUGGAAGCACAAAUAAACAAGGCAAAGCAGCUUACUGGGUAAAUCAAAUUACUGAUAAACGUCCUACCUGUGAAGUAACUAUUUAGGGGAAAAGAAUUUAAAGGUUUGGUAGAUACAGGAGCGGACAUUUCAAUCAUUUGAUAUUGUAAAGAAUAAAAUUAUCUGAAUGUAUGUAUUAAAUAUA